RNAcentral lists this ribosomal RNA (550 nucleotides) under Bifidobacterium longum subsp. infantis. RNAcentral describes it as "bacterial SSU rRNA". It matches the Rfam family "Bacterial small subunit ribosomal RNA", at positions 146 to 711 of the family's 1533-position model. The record is from RNAcentral. RNAcentral also lists the same sequence under 1 other name. Lineage: Bacteria; Bacillati; Actinomycetota; Actinomycetes; Bifidobacteriales; Bifidobacteriaceae.
UCUCCUGGAAACGGGUGGUAAUGCCGGAUGUUCCAGUUGAUCGCAUGGUCUUCUGGGAAAGCUUUCGCGGUAUGGGAUGGGGUCGCGUCCUAUCAGCUUGACGGCGGGGUAACGGCCCACCGUGGCUUCGACGGGUAGCCGGCCUGAGAGGGCGACCGGCCACAUUGGGACUGAGAUACGGCCCAGACUCCUACGGGAGGCAGCAGUGGGGAAUAUUGCACAAUGGGCGCAAGCCUGAUGCAGCGACGCCGCGUGAGGGAUGGAGGCCUUCGGGUUGUAAACCUCUUUUAUCGGGGAGCAAGCGUGAGUGAGUUUACCCGUUGAAUAAGCACCGGCUAACUACGUGCCAGCAGCCGCGGUAAUACGUAGGGUGCAAGCGUUAUCCGGAAUUAUUGGGCGUAAAGGGCUCGUAGGCGGUUCGUCGCGUCCGGUGUGAAAGUCCAUCGCUUAACGGUGGAUCCGCGCCGGGUACGGGCGGGCUUGAGUGCGGUAGGGGAGACUGGAAUUCCCGGUGUAACGGUGGAAUGUGUAGAUAUCGGAAAGAACACCA